This 1435-nucleotide ribosomal RNA is filed under the name uncultured Bordetella sp. RNAcentral's name for it is "partial 16S-23S ribosomal RNA intergenic spacer". It matches the Rfam family "Bacterial small subunit ribosomal RNA". Lineage: Bacteria; Pseudomonadati; Pseudomonadota; Betaproteobacteria; Burkholderiales; Alcaligenaceae. The record is from RNAcentral.
UGCUGGCGGAUGCUUUACAUGUAAGUCGAACGGCAGCACGGACUUCGGUCUGGUGGCGAGUGGCGAACGGUAUGGCCAUCGGAACGUGCUCAUGGAAGCGGGGAUAACUACGUGAAAGCGAAGCAUUACCGCAUACCCCUUCGGGGAAAGCGGGGGACUUUCGGGCCUCGCACUAUUAGAGCGGCCGAUAUCGGAUUAGCUAGUUGGUGGGGUAACGGCUCACCAGGCGACGAUCCAGCUGGUUUGAGGACGACCAGCCACACUGGACUGAGACACGGCCCAGACUCCUACGGAGGCAGCAGUGGGGAAUUUUGACAAUGGGGGGAAACUCCCGAUCCAGCCAUCCCGCGUGUGCGAUGAAGGCCUUUGCCAGGAAGCACUUUUGCAGGAAGAAACGGCACGGGAUAAUACCCUCGUGCAACUGACGGUACCUGCAGAAUAAGCACUGGCUAACUACGUGCCAGCAGCUGCGGUAAUACGUAGGGUGCAAGCGUUAAUCGGAAUUACUGGGCGUAAAGCGUGCGCAGGCGGUUCUGGAAAGAAAGAUGUGAAAUCCCAGAGCUUAACUUUGGAACUGCAUUUUUAACUACCGAGCUAGAGGUGCUGAGGGAGGUGGAAUUCCGCGUAGCAGUGAAAUGCGUAGAUAUGCGGAGAACACCGAUGGCGAAGGCAGCUCUCUGGGAUAACACUGACGCUCAUGGUCGAAAGCGUGGGGAGCAAACAGGAUUAGAUACCCUGGUAGUCCACGCCCUAAACGAUGUCAACUAGCUGCUGGGGUCACCGGUAUGCAGCUUAACGCGGAAGUUGACCGCCUGUGAGUACGGUCGUAAGAUUAAAACUCAAAGGAAUUACGGGACCCGCACAAGCGGUGGAUGAUGUGGAUUAAUCUGAUGCAACGCGAAAACCUUACCUACCUUUGACAUGUCUGGAAUCCUGAAGAGAUUUGGGGAGUGCUCGCAAGAGAACCGAACACAGGUGCUGCAUGGCUAAUGUCAGCUCGUGUCGUGAGAUGUUGGGUUAAGUCCCGCAACGAGCGUAGCAACCCUGUCAUUAGUUGCUACGAAAGGGCAAUCUAAUGAGACUGCCGGUGACAAACUGGAGGAAGGUGGGGAUGACGUCAAGUCCUCAUGGCCCUUAUGGGUAGGGCUUCACACGUCAUACAAUGGUCGGGACAGGGUCGCCAACCCGCGAGGGGGAGCCAAUCCCAGAAACCCGAUCGUAGUCCGGAUCGCAGUCUGCAACUCGACUGCGUGAAGUCGGAAUCGCUAGUAAUCGCGGAUCAGCAUGUCAGGGAAUACGUUCCCUGGGUCUGGUAUAUAAUUCUCGCCCGUCACACCAUGGGAGUGGGUUUUACCAGAAGUAGUUAGCCUUAAUCCGUAAGGAGGGCGAUUACCACGGUAGGAUUCAUGACUGGGGUGGGUCGUAUGGCGGUAAC